UUUCAUGCUGUCAGCCUGCCUCUUUCAUCAUUUUGGGCUGCCUCCUUUUAUGACUGAAUAUGCCUCCCUGUUCUGUCUCAAUUUAUUCAAUUUCCUGCUCACAAUGUCAUAGGUUCUUCUGUCUCUAAACCCCUACAUGUCUCAUUUCCUCCCUUGCUCCCUCCCUUUUUUCAUUCUCACUAAUUCUGCUCAUAUUUAAUUUUUUUUCUGCCUUGUACCAAUUUCAGACGUUUUCUCUUUU
This is a non-coding RNA of Pelobates cultripes (western spadefoot toad), 241 nucleotides long. The record is from the annotation of a GenBank genome assembly. NCBI's taxonomy places the organism in Eukaryota, Metazoa, Chordata, Amphibia, Anura, Pelobatidae.